GUUAAGCGACUAAGCGUACACGGUGGAUGCCCUGGCAGUCAGAGGCGAUGAAGGGCGUGCUAAUCUGCGAUAAGCGCCGGUAAGGUGAUAUGAACCGUUAUAACCGGCGAUACCCGAAUGGGGAAACCCAGUGUGAUUCGUCACACUAUCAUUAACUGAAUCCAUAGGUUAAUGAGGCGAACCGGGGGAACUGAAACAUCUAAGUACCCCGAGGAAAAGAAAUCAACCGAGAUUCCCCCAGUAGCGGCGAGCGAACGGGGAGGAGCCCAGAGCCUGAAUCAGCAUGUGUGUUAGUGGAAGCGUCUGGAAAGGCGCGCGAUACAGGGUGACAGCCCCGUACACAAAAGCGCAUGUGCUGUGAGCUCGAUGAGUAGGGCGGGACACGUGGUAUCCUGUCUGAAUAUGGGGGGACCAUCCUCCAAGGCUAAAUACUCCUGACUGACCGAUAGUGAACCAGUACCGUGAGGGAAAGGCGAAAAGAACCCCGGCGAGGGGAGUGAAAAAGAACCUGAAACCGUGUACGUACAAGCAGUGGGAGCACCCUUCGGGGUGUGACUGCGUACCUUUUGUAUAAUGGGUCAGCGACUUAUAUUCUGUAGCAAGGUUAACCGUAUAGGGGAGCCGGAGGGAAACCGAGUCUUAAUUGGGCGUUAAGUUGCAGGGUAUAGACCCGAAACCCGGUGAUCUAGCCAUGGGCAGGUUGAAGGUUGGGUAACACUAACUGGAGGACCGAACCGACUAAUGUUGAAAAAUUAGCGGAUGACCUGUGGCUGGGGGUGAAAGGCCAAUCAAACCGGGAGAUAGCUGGUUCUCCCCGAAAGCUAUUUAGGUAGCGCCUCGUGAAUUCAUCUCCGGGGGUAGAGCACUGUUUCGGCUAGGGGGCCAUCCCGGCUUACCAACCCGAUGCAAACUGCGAAUACCGGAGAAUGUUAUCACGGGAGACACACGGCGGGUGCUAACGUCCGUCGUGAAGAGGGAAACAACCCAGACCGCCAGCUAAGGUCCCAAAGUCAUGGUUAAGUGGGAAACGAUGUGGGAAGGCCCAGACAGCCAGGAUGUUGGCUUAGAAGCAGCCAUCAUUUAAAGAAAGCGUAAUAGCUCACUGGUCGAGUCGGCCUGCGCGGAAGAUGUAACGGGGCUAAACCAUGCACCGAAGCUGCGGCAGCGAACGUAUCACCCAAGACAACUUUACGGAGUUGACGAUUGACGGAGCGAAGCGACGUCAAAGCGUUCAUUAAAGUCGAGUUGGCUUAGGGAUACGUUCGUUGGGUAGGGGAGCGUUCUGUAAGCCUGUGAAGGUGUGUCGUGAGGCAUGCUGGAGGUAUCAGAAGUGCGAAUGCUGACAUAAGUAACGAUAAAGCGGGUGAAAAGCCCGCUCGCCGGAAGACCAAGGGUUCCUGUCCAACGUUAAUCGGGGCAGGGUGAGUCGACCCCUAAGGCGAGGCCGAAAGGCGUAGUCGAUGGGAAACGGGUUAAUAUUCCCGUACUUGGUGUUACUGCGAAGGGGGGACGGAGAAGGCUAUGUUGGCCGGGCGACGGUUGUCCCGGUUUAAGCGUGUAGGUGUGUGUUCCAGGUAAAUCCGGUUCACUUUAACACUGAGGCGUGACGACGAGGCACUACGGUGCUGAAGCAACAAAUGCCCUGCUUCCAGGAAAAGCCUCUAAGCAUCAGGUAACAUCAAAUCGUACCCCAAACCGACACAGGUGGUCAGGUAGAGAAUACCAAGGCGCUUGAGAGAACUCGGGUGAAGGAACUAGGCAAAAUGGUGCCGUAACUUCGGGAGAAGGCACGCUGACACGUAGGUGAAGUGAUUUACUCAUGGAGCUGAAGUCAGUCGAAGAUACCAGCUGGCUGCAACUGUUUAUUAAAAACACAGCACUGUGCAAACACGAAAGUGGACGUAUACGGUGUGACGCCUGCCCGGUGCCGGAAGGUUAAUUGAUGGGGUCAGCGCAAGCGAAGCUCCUGAUCGAAGCCCCGGUAAACGGCGGCCGUAACUAUAACGGUCCUAAGGUAGCGAAAUUCCUUGUCGGGUAAGUUCCGACCUGCACGAAUGGCGUAAUGAUGGCCAGGCUGUCUCCACCCGAGACUCAGUGAAAUUGAACUCGCUGUGAAGAUGCAGUGUACCCGCGGCAAGACGGAAAGACCCCGUGAACCUUUACUAUAGCUUGACACUGAACAUUGAGCCUUGAUGUGUAGGAUAGGUGGGAGGCUUUGAAGUGUGGACGCCAGUCUGCAUGGAGCCGACCUUGAAAUACCACCCUUUAAUGUUUGAUGUUCUAACGUGGACCCGUUACCCGGGUUGCGGACAGUGUCUGGUGGGUAGUUUGACUGGGGCGGUCUCCUCCUAAAGAGUAACGGAGGAGCACGAAGGUUGGCUAAUCCUGGUCGGACAUCAGGAGGUUAGUGCAAUGGCAUAAGCCAGCUUGACUGCGAGCGUGACGGCGCGAGCAGGUGCGAAAGCAGGUCAUAGUGAUCCGGUGGUUCUGAAUGGAAGGGCCAUCGCUCAACGGAUAAAAGGUACUCCGGGGAUAACAGGCUGAUACCGCCCAAGAGUUCAUAUCGACGGCGGUGUUUGGCACCUCGAUGUCGGCUCAUCACAUCCUGGGGCUGAAGUAGGUCCCAAGGGUAUGGCUGUUCGCCAUUUAAAGUGGUACGCGAGCUGGGUUUAGAACGUCGUGAGACAGUUCGGUCCCUAUCUGCCGUGGGCGCUGGAGAACUGAGGGGGGCUGCUCCUAGUACGAGAGGACCGGAGUGGACGCAUCACUGGUGUUCGGGUUGUCAUGCCAAUGGCACUGCCCGGUAGCUAAAUGCGGAAGAGAUAAGUGCUGAAAGCAUCUAAGCACGAAACUUGCCCCGAGAUGAGUUCUCCCUGAGACUUAGAGUCUCCUGAAGGAACGUUGAAGACGACGACGUUGAUAGGCCGGGUGUGUAAGCGCAGCGAUGCGUUGAGCUAACCGGUACUAAUGAACCGUGAGGCUUAACCUUACA
RNAcentral lists this ribosomal RNA (2992 nucleotides) under Salmonella enterica subsp. enterica serovar Typhimurium str. 14028S. RNAcentral's name for it is "bacterial LSU rRNA". It matches the Rfam family "Bacterial large subunit ribosomal RNA". Lineage: Bacteria; Pseudomonadati; Pseudomonadota; Gammaproteobacteria; Enterobacterales; Enterobacteriaceae. The record is from RNAcentral.